RNAcentral lists this ribosomal RNA (968 nucleotides) under uncultured organism. RNAcentral's name for it is "bacterial SSU rRNA". It matches the Rfam family "Bacterial small subunit ribosomal RNA", at positions 465 to 1420 of the family's 1533-position model. The record is from RNAcentral.
GUAAUUGACGGUACUUCACAAGCAAGCUCCGGCUAACUUCGUGCCAGCAGCACGCGGUAAUACGACGGGAGCAAGCGUUGUCCGAAAUAACUGGGCGUAAAGGGUACGUAGGCUUUGAUGUAUGUUUUCGGUGAAAUCCACAGGCUCAACUCGUGGCUUGCCGGAAAAACUGCAGAGAUUGAAUCCGGAAGGGGAAAGCGGAAUUCCUGGUGUAACGGUGAAAUGCGUAGAUAUCAGGAGGAACACCAGUGGCGAAGGCGGCUAUCUGGUCCGGAAUUGACGCUGAUGUACUAAAGCGUGGGUAGCAAACAGGAUUAGAUACCCUGGUAGUCCACGCCCUAAACGAUGUAUACUUGAUGUCGGGAUGUUCGGUCGUCUCGGUGUCGUAGCUAACGUGUUAAGUAUACCGCAUGGGGACUACGGUCGCAAGACUGAAACUCUAAGGAAUUGACGGGGGCCCGCACCAGCGGUGGAACAUGUGGUUUAAUUCGAUGCAACGCGAAGAACGUUACCUGGGCUUGACAUAUGUAUGAAGUAUGUAAGAGAUUAUGUAUUCUGUCUGUUGUUUCAGACAGCAUAUAUACAGGUGAUGCAUGGCUGUCGUCAGCUCGUGUCGUGAGAUGUAGGGUUAAGUCCCUUAACGAGCGCAACCCUUACUUUUAGUUGCCAUCAGGUAAAGCUGGGGACUCUAGAAGGACUGCCGAGGUUAACUCGGAGGAAGGUGGGGAUGACGUCAAGUCAGUAUGUCCCUCAUGUCCAGGGCUACACACGUGUUACAAUGGCCGGUACAGAGGGCCGCGAAGCCGCGAGGUGAAGCAAAUCAUUCAAAGCCGGUCCCAGUUCGGAUUGGAGUCUGCAAUUCGACUCCAUGAAGUUGGAAUCGCUAGUAAUCGCAGAACAGCACGCUGCGGUGAUACGUUCCCGGGCCUCGUACACACCGCCCGUCACGCCAUGGAAGUUGGGAGCAC